Molecule: long non-coding RNA, 296 nt
Filed under: Struthio camelus australis
Lineage: Eukaryota; Metazoa; Chordata; Aves; Struthioniformes; Struthionidae
Description: lncRNA (ENSSCUG00000009182.1)
Source: RNAcentral
GUGGAGGCAGUAUGCAGUGCUUCGAAUUGCAGAGGGUCAGAUCCUGCUCCUGGCAGAACGUCUCUCAACCAAAGAGCCCAUCAGAAGGCUUCGUCCCGUCUGAUUUUCCUGUAACUAAACAGGAGGAAGGUACCAGCAAGUUUCUGUCUAGAAGUGAGGAGAUCUUUUCAGUGGGAAAGAAGGUUUCAGUGUGGGAAGUACUGAGAACCCCCGAUGAGCGAUUUGAUCUUCUUUGCAUCAAAGCAGGACACCAGGAAAGGGAAUACCAGGACUACAUGAAAAUGUCAUUGUGUUAA